Molecule: long non-coding RNA, 244 nt
Filed under: Gossypium barbadense (sea-island cotton)
Lineage: Eukaryota; Viridiplantae; Streptophyta; Magnoliopsida; Malvales; Malvaceae
Description: long non-coding RNA (GBAR_LNC011154)
Source: RNAcentral
CAAAAUUGAGUGUCUACAGCUGCCCCUCUUUGCUCAUUGCUGUGUAACAGGAAUCGAGUAAAGACUCAUAGAAAGACCAAAUUUGCCCGGCCUUAUCGGAUCAUGGUCCUCAAUCUGCUCAUUGCAAACUCAAGACUAUCAUGUUGAUAUCUUCGAUCUACUCUCUGUUGAACACAGAGACGCCAAAUCUGCUUCUUCGAUCUGUUUUCUGACAAUAAAGAGAUGCCAAAUCAUCUUAGAUCUG